UGAUCAUGGCUCAGAUUGAACGCUGGCGGCAGGCCUAACACAUGCAAGUCGAGCGGCAGCACAGAGGAACUUGUUCCUUGGGUGGCGAGCGGCGGACGGGUGAGUAAUGCCUGGGAAAUUGCCCGGUAGAGGGGGAUAACCAUUGGAAACGAUGGCUAAUACCGCAUAACCUCGCAAGAGCAAAGCAGGGGACCUUCGGGCCUUGCGCUACCGGAUAUGCCCAGGUGGGAUUAGCUAGUUGGUGAGGUAAGGGCUCACCAAGGCGACGAUCCCUAGCUGGUCUGAGAGGAUGAUCAGCCACACUGGAACUGAGACACGGUCCAGACUCCUACGGGAGGCAGCAGUGGGGAAUAUUGCACAAUGGGCGCAAGCCUGAUGCAGCCAUGCCGCGUGUAUGAAGAAGGCCUUCGGG
Molecule: ribosomal RNA, 412 nt
Filed under: Vibrio cholerae
Lineage: Bacteria; Pseudomonadati; Pseudomonadota; Gammaproteobacteria; Vibrionales; Vibrionaceae
Description: bacterial SSU rRNA
Rfam family: Bacterial small subunit ribosomal RNA
Source: RNAcentral